Molecule: long non-coding RNA, 436 nt
Filed under: Mytilus galloprovincialis (Mediterranean mussel)
Lineage: Eukaryota; Metazoa; Mollusca; Bivalvia; Mytilida; Mytilidae
Source: RNAcentral
AUUCCUUUUUAUUAAAUAUGAACCACUCUGUAUUUUCAUAAACAGAUAGAAAAUGGUACAGGUAUGUUUAAUUCUAUUAAAAUAACGACUUUGGAUGUUUUUCAGUCACAUGGCAACUGUUGUUAAGUAAAAGAAAGUAAUGUUCCUUAAAAGGAGUUAUCUCCCUUAGACCAUUUUGAAUAAAAAAGAAAUCAAAUUUACUCAAAAUCAGGACUAGGCUACAUAUUUUAUUUUUGAUAUUUUUGAAAGAAAAUAUAUUCUCUUUAGUUUGCAUGUAACCAUUUUCCCUAAAACAUCCGGUCUUAGGAGAAAAUAGUGAAAUUCUUAAAUGCAAUAAGUGGGGAAAGUUCAUGUUUUCCCAAUAUUCAAUAAAGCACCAAGAAAAAUAUACUGUGUUCAAUGGUUUAAUAUUACAAAUUUAGUUCUUACUUCACAA